RNAcentral lists this ribosomal RNA (240 nucleotides) under Triticum aestivum (bread wheat). RNAcentral describes it as "partial small subunit ribosomal RNA". The record is from RNAcentral. Lineage: Eukaryota; Viridiplantae; Streptophyta; Magnoliopsida; Poales; Poaceae.
AUGGCAAAAUUGGGACUCCAAGAGGAUGACUUGCAGGGCGUGAUCGUGGAAGAGGAUGAACUCCCGGAGGAGGCGACCCGCUGGAUGGCGAUAGCUAGGGUUCAUACCACUAAACCCUACAGCCAAUAUUGCUUCUUUCGGAACAUGAGGGUGGCAUGGGAUUUAGCCCAAGAGGUGAAGAUCAAACCACUUGAGGAAAACCUCUAUAAACUGCAGUUUUCGUGUCUUGGUGAUUGGGAG